This 310-nucleotide unclassified non-coding RNA is filed under the name uncultured fungus. RNAcentral describes it as "partial contains small subunit ribosomal RNA, internal transcribed spacer 1, and 5.8S ribosomal RNA". The stretch from base 1 to 73 matches the Rfam family "Eukaryotic small subunit ribosomal RNA", at positions 1759 to 1831 of the family's 1831-position model. Lineage: Eukaryota; Fungi. The record is from RNAcentral.
CCAAACUUGGUCAUUUAGAGGAAGUAAAAGUCGUAACAAGGUUUCCGUAGGUGAACCUGCGGAAGGAUCAUUACCGAGUGCGGGCCCUCUGGGUCCAACCUCCCACCCGUGUUUAUUGUACCUUGUUGCUUCGGCGGGCCCGCCGUCUUCGGACGGCCGCCGAGGAGGCCUCCGCGCCCCCGGGCCCGCGCCCGCCGAAGACCACAACAUGAACUCUGUUCUGAAGUUUUGCAGUCUGAGUUGAUUAUCAUAAUCAGUUAAAACUUUCAACAACGGAUCUCUUGGCUCUCGCAUCGAUGAAGAACGCAGC